UACAGAAAAGCGCUUAAAAAGUCUCAAGGUAAUCUUCUGUCUGCCUAAUUGCGUAAGUCUUGAAAUAAUAUCCUUUGCCAAGUAAUUAACUGUGUAAUUUAAGAAUAAAAGUGCAUGGCCAAUGAGGUGGAAAAUCAGAGUAUUUAUCCGAUAGUAGUUCGGAGAAAGAAAGGAGGCAGUUGACCAGACAAAAUAUUGCCCACGUUUUGGCACGUAGACAGCACGUAUUUGCACGUACGGCGGGUUGUUCCCAUGGCUUACCGUAUCAACCAUACGGUGAUUUACAUCAUUCAUCAUGCCUUGCAGAGGAGAUAGGCGCCGCCAGGGGACUAAUUAUAAAUGCCUAUUGAGAUUGUCUCAAUUGGCAUAACAGGAUGUGCUGCCCCUACGGCUGAUUAAAAAGCUAUGAGAUGAUGAUGAUGAAUAAGUAAUGAAACAAAUAAUCAUCGUAUGGCCACAGCAAGUAAAUUUUAUAUUUUUAUUUAUUUUCAAGCUAGACUCCAUAAACGUCGUAACACGUUUUGAAGUGACAAAACGUGGCAUUCAUUCCAGAAAGACAUGAACUAGUGUGUGGUACAUCCCCGUAGAGGAAAAAUAAUUUUUUUCUAGAAUCAGUCGAAGAUUAAUAAGUGCGUUGAUGUUAUCCAUAAAAUUUAUGUGCUGUAGCCUAUGCCACCGUAAUUUCCAUAUUUUCUGCUUCUGUGCAAAUGUUUAAACCCCAUUGGUCAGAAGUAGAGCGAAAGGACCAAUCACAGCCUGUACAGAAACAGCUUAAUUAUAUUAUAAAAGAUGGCGGUGGUCUCUUGACGGUUGAUGUGUCCCUGUGUGAAUUUGGACAUCGUAGGUGCAACAGUUACUGCAGACAGAAAGAAAAAAGUCAUUUUAUGCUCCUCAAGGUGCUGUGACAGGGCAUCCCUUUUACAAGAACAGCUGUCGCGGUACAGGAUCCCUAAACAGACUCUGGCUAACUACACACAGUGCAUUGCAUUGGUCAUUGCCAGUGUUAUGAUAAACAAGUACAUAAUUUGUCCAGUUGUACACAUGUACAGGUGACUGUUCAUUGAUGGGGUGAGCAGGUGCCUUGAGAGAAGAAAAGAAAGGCUGGAUCUUCAUUCGAGGCCUUUCCAUGCAUGAGCAUCCUACAGGCCCCGGAGGGCACACCGUGCCGGCCACUCCAGGUCUAUGGAGAAGCGAUCAAAGAGCAAAUGCAGACGAGGACGCCAAGCUACCCCGUAUCUACAGUAUGUUCAACCUCCCCACAUGAGCCACCCCCAUCUGCGCGAGACAACCUUGAGAAUGUGUUUCAGGGUCAGCACUCAGUCAGAGCUCACCAGCAGAACUUUGCAUCAAGGACAACACAGAACCCAUUCCAGAACUUUGUUUCAGAACCCAUCCAAGAACUUAAUUUCACAGUCGACACAGACUGCAGUAUUGACACUGUAUCUUCAUCCCGAAUUUUACAAGAAACAUAUACACUUAUGAUCCACAAACUGCAGUAGUGACACUAUCAUUCCAAUUUGAAUAGACCUUCAUUGUUGGUGUAGUUCUUUUACACCUUCAAAUCUUCAAUGUCUGGUCUCUGUAGGCCAAAAUGUUUAUUGCCACUCCUGAACUUUACAAGCCACAGAACUAACGAUGGAUGUCUUGCGGUGAAACUAUAAUUAUUUAAGCUUUCAGCACUAUACCACCUUAGUAGGUUUGUUA
Molecule: long non-coding RNA, 1704 nt
Organism: Branchiostoma floridae (Florida lancelet)
Lineage: Eukaryota; Metazoa; Chordata; Leptocardii; Amphioxiformes; Branchiostomatidae
Exons: 5
Source: RefSeq, a predicted model, not a curated record